UGCCCAAGAGAUCGGGAUAACACCUGGAAACAGAUGCUAAUACCGGAUAACAACAGAUGAUGCCUAUCAACUGUUUAAAAGAUGGUUCUGCUAUCACUCUUGGAUGGACCUGCGGUGCAUUAGCUAGUUGGUAGGGUAACGGCCUACCAAGGCGAUGAUGCAUAGCCGAGUUGAGAGACUGAUCGGCCACAUUGGGACUGAGACACGGCCCAAACUCCUACGGGAGGCAGCAGC
Molecule: ribosomal RNA, 234 nt
Filed under: uncultured Lactobacillus sp.
Lineage: Bacteria; Bacillati; Bacillota; Bacilli; Lactobacillales; Lactobacillaceae
Description: partial 16S ribosomal RNA
Rfam family: Bacterial small subunit ribosomal RNA
Source: RNAcentral